Molecule: small RNA, 288 nt
Filed under: Chinchilla lanigera (long-tailed chinchilla)
Lineage: Eukaryota; Metazoa; Chordata; Mammalia; Rodentia; Chinchillidae
Description: 7SK RNA (ENSCLAG00000021195.1)
Rfam family: 7SK RNA
About the family: 7SK was discovered as an abundant small nuclear RNA in the mid-70s but a possible function has only recently been suggested. Two independent studies have found that 7SK RNA binds the CDK9/cyclin T complex (known as elongation factor P-TEFb).
Source: RNAcentral
GGCUGUGAGGGCAAUCUGGCUGCAACACCUCACCUCCUCGAUCACCAGGGCUGAUUCACCUGACCUGGCCGGCUGGGCGGGCGUCCCCUUCCUCCCUCGCUGCCCUACGUGCGGCCUCCGCUCGGCCAAAGAGCCCGACGCCCCUACAGGGGAGGACCGUUCCUCGGUCAAGGACCUCCAAACAAGUACUCCACUAUUAAGCCUCGCCCCAGUGGUUUGGGCUUCAUUGUCCAAAUAGAAAAUGAAGAGUUAAAGGAGGAAGGGUUCAUUGGACGUCAUUCACACCUU